GUUCUAGUAGUGUAGAGAAGCACGGGUAAUUGUGGUUUAUCAGGGAAAUGUUUUUUUAGGGCU
RNAcentral lists this transfer RNA (63 nucleotides) under Catillopecten margaritatus. Its description in RNAcentral is "Catillopecten sp. m YTL-2023 tRNA-His". Lineage: Eukaryota; Metazoa; Mollusca; Bivalvia; Pectinida; Propeamussiidae. The record is from RNAcentral.